GACGAACCGGACGAACGUUAUUCGGAAUCACUGGGCUUAAAGAGUGCGUAGGCGGCCUGGUAGGUUGGGUGUGAAAUCCCUCGGCUCAACCGAGGAAUUGCGCUCAAAACCGCUAGGCUGGAGGGAGAUAGGGGUGAGCGGAACUGAUGGUGGAGCGGUGAAAUGCGUUGAUAUCAUCAGGAACACCGGUGGCGAAGGCGGCUCACUGGGUCUCUUCUGACGCUGAGGCACGAAAGCUAGGGGAGCGAACGGG
RNAcentral lists this ribosomal RNA (253 nucleotides) under uncultured Blastopirellula sp. RNAcentral's name for it is "partial 16S ribosomal RNA". It matches the Rfam family "Bacterial small subunit ribosomal RNA", at positions 524 to 776 of the family's 1533-position model. The record is from RNAcentral. Lineage: Bacteria; Pseudomonadati; Planctomycetota; Planctomycetia; Pirellulales; Pirellulaceae.